AUCGCUUCUCGGCCUUUUGGCUAAGAUCAAGUGUAGUAUCUGUUCUUAUCAGUUCUCCAUGUUUAAGGUGGAAAAACUUUCUGAUAAUUCACAUAAAGUGGUGAUUGUCAGAAUGUUUAAUGAAACCGUAACAGGAGAAGACAUUGUUACAUGGCUGGCUAGAUUCUGUACCGUUAAAAGCCCACCUAUC
Astyanax mexicanus (Mexican tetra) is the source of this 190-nucleotide small nuclear RNA. RefSeq annotates it as U2 spliceosomal RNA. NCBI's taxonomy places the organism in Eukaryota, Metazoa, Chordata, Actinopteri, Characiformes, Acestrorhamphidae. The record is from RefSeq and is a predicted model, not a curated record. The transcript has a single exon.